RNAcentral lists this long non-coding RNA (811 nucleotides) under Columba livia (rock pigeon). RNAcentral describes it as "partial uncharacterized LOC102097163". Lineage: Eukaryota; Metazoa; Chordata; Aves; Columbiformes; Columbidae. The record is from RNAcentral.
AUGACAGGAAAACAGUACUGGCUGCCAACUACCUUCUCUCUCUUUAUUUAUCAUGGUUAGUGCUUGUGUUUUGUCAGGAAGGCUCAAGGCAUCAUCCUGUAACUGAUUGGCAUGUUGGGAGGACGUAACCUGAAAUACAGGCCAGAUGGACAGACUGGCAUUUUUUGAGGCUCAAUAGAGGAAACAGACACAAGGCGACUCUUCUUGGUGAAGGAAAGAGCAUUAGUCCACAGCUCGCCUUUUCUUGGAGCUGCCUGUCCAUUCCCAGGAUUGCUUGCCCCUCCUGUAAGCAGUUUUGCCAGGUGGUUGCUGGUGAUGUUGCAGAUCAAAGCAGGUAUGGCAGCAGGGAGCAGGAGCUUUCCAGUGGAACACGUCACAAUGGGGAUCUCCUCCAAGAGUCUCAACUGGGGCAUCUCUGAAGUGGGCUGGACAAUCUUGAUGACUCAAGUUGUUUAGAGAGAACAGUAAUUAUCCAUUCUGAAGUAUCUGAAAUUAUGUGAAACUGUACUGCAGCCUGUGAGAAUGGUGCUUUCCCAGCCUGAAGGUGAGGGGAUGUGGUAAUGUUUGGGGGUGCACAGCCAGUUCAAGCAGUUCAGAACAGCACAUACAGUUAAACAAGAUGUGAUCUUGGGAGUAGCGCUUGGUGUGAACUCCCCCUGCAGUGGUGUGCUUCACAGAGGGCAAGUUGGAACAGGGGGAAGUAACAAAAGAGGUGUGGGGAUCAGCAGCCAAAGCUUGAGCUUGCUCCCCAGCCUGCAGCAGUAACAACAUGCUCAGAGGGACCUCGAGUAUCAGCCUGCUGCUGGGGACC